GCCCCCGCCCAUCAGCCCAGCCUGCAAGGAGGCGCCACCGGACCUGCACACUCAGGAGCAGACUCAGCUAGAUUGGAAGAGAGGAUGGGAAGACAAUGGAUGACCUACCUGUGGAGAGAAACUACCCAUUCCAGAACCUCCUCUCUGCUGAAAGCUGAACACUCAAUGGGAAGACCUGUUUGCAGAGAGGAGCCAGCCACUCCAGGGUCUCCGUUCUGCUAGAAGCUGAACACUCGUUGGGACACCCUUGCUGUGGAAAGGACAUCCUUACUGUGGAAAUGAGCUACUAACUGCAGGAGCUGAGGAGCUGCACAGCAAGGUUAAAAGAGCUGUAACACAAACAGGGCUGCAACAUGCCCCUUGCUCCCCACAGGGAGAGAAGAGCUCUGGCCCUCGGAGAAGCCCAGACCUGGGAGCUCCUUGAGCCCGGGCUGUGACUCCCUCUUUGGGGCCCUGGUUGGCGUCACUGCAUUCGCCAGUGCCACUGUUGGAAGCUGCUUGUGAUGCGCCUGGUCCAGGGGGAAGCUGUUUGUUGUGUGCCUGGUCCAGCCACCUCAUGGAGAGCCUGUGCUGGCACCUGGAGCUGCCCAACCUGGGCAGCAGCUUGUGUGUGUGACUGCACAGUGGCCACGCUUGCUCACACACCCCUAGCACACCCCUCUGCUCCACCCGUCUCAAUCUCCCUUGGAUCCGGGAUCCAGUCCUUACAUGAAGCCUACUCAGACCGACAUCACUGUAUCAUUUUUUUGUAUUCUGAAGUCCUUCAGCACUUGAUUCCUUUAAGUUUAAUCUUGGUAUUCUAUUGGGAAUCAUAUGGAAAUGUACAAUGAUAUUUAUUGAAUGAACAGGAAACAGGGAAAGACAUUGACCAGAAAAAGUGUUUAUUC
RNAcentral lists this long non-coding RNA (887 nucleotides) under Homo sapiens (human). RNAcentral describes it as "non-protein coding lnc-KLRG1-9:4". Lineage: Eukaryota; Metazoa; Chordata; Mammalia; Primates; Hominidae. The record is from RNAcentral.